This 169-nucleotide unclassified non-coding RNA is filed under the name plant metagenome. Its description in RNAcentral is "partial contains 5.8S ribosomal RNA, internal transcribed spacer 2, and large subunit ribosomal RNA". The record is from RNAcentral.
GCAGUCGGGCAACUUCGAGCCGGUUCACCGCGCGCUCUCCGAUCAUAGAAAAAAAACGACACCGACUACUCCGGCGAAGCUAAAGGCAGAGUGGCAGGCAUUCGCUGACAUGAACUACGAUCUCGAUUCGAUUCUCCAGAUUCCGCCGGUGUUCGAUCCGGCGCCAAGC